UACGUAGGGGGCGAGCGUUGUCCGGAUUUAUUGGGCGUAAAGAGCCCGCAGGCGGCUUGGCAAGUUUGAGGUGAAAUCUCCCGGCUUAACUGGGAGGGUGCGCUAUAGACUGUGGGGCUAGAGUGUGGGAGAGGAAAGUGGAAUUCCUGGUGUAGCGGUGAAAUGCGUAGAUAUCAGGAGGAACACCGGUGGUGUAAACGGCUUUCUGGACCAUAACUGACGCUGAGGCGCGAAAGCUAGGGGAGCAAACAGG
This 253-nucleotide ribosomal RNA is filed under the name uncultured bacterium. Its description in RNAcentral is "partial 16S ribosomal RNA". It matches the Rfam family "Bacterial small subunit ribosomal RNA", at positions 524 to 776 of the family's 1533-position model. The record is from RNAcentral.